Molecule: long non-coding RNA, 1408 nt
Filed under: Macaca fascicularis (crab-eating macaque)
Lineage: Eukaryota; Metazoa; Chordata; Mammalia; Primates; Cercopithecidae
Description: lncRNA (ENSMFAG00000057801.1)
Source: RNAcentral
UUUUGCAACAAUAUUUUCAUCUUUUAAGGAGUUUAUCAGGAUGUAAACCCUCAUAAGUCAAGGAAAACCAGUAGAUACAAAAAUACUCAACAAAAUACUAACAGCUGAAUCCAACAGCAUAUUAAAAGGAGUAUACCCCAUAACCAAGUGGGAUUUAUCCUUUGACUACAAGGGUUGUUCAACAUAUGAAAAGCAGUCAAUUUAAUCCACUGGGUUAAUAGAACAAAGGAAAAAACAUAAGACCAUCUCAAUUUAUACAGAAAAAGAGGCAUUUUACAAAAUCCAACACUCUUUCAUGAUAAAAGCACUCAAAAAGUUGAGAAUAGAAGUAGACUGCCUCAACAUGAUAAAAACCACAUGUGAAAAAUGCACAGACAAUCUCAUACUGGUGAAAGACUGGAAACUGCCCCCUGGUAUCAGGAACAAAACAAGGAUGCUCACUUUAGCCACUUCUAUUCAACAUUUUAGCAGAAGUUCUAGCCGGAGCAAUUAGGCAAAAGGAAAAUAAAAGGUGUACAAACUGGAGAGGAAGAAGUAAAACUAUAUUCACAGAUAACAUAAUCAUAAAUGUAAACAACCUUAAAGAUUUUCCAUAAAAAUAUUUUCCACAAACAAUUAUUAAAGUCAAUUUUAAACACAGCAAAUUUGCAGGACACAAGAUAAAUACCAAAAUUCAGUUGUAUUUCUAUACACUAACAGUAAGUGUCCAAAAAUGAACUAAAGAAAACAAUUCCAUUUAUAAUGGUAUAAAAAAUAAAAUAUUUAAGGAUAAAUUUAACCAAGAAGCUGUAGGGCUUGUACACUGGAAACUAUAAAACAAUUCUGAAAGAAAUUAAAGAAGGCCUAAGUAAGCAGAAAGAUAGCUCAUAUUCAUGGACUGCAAGAUUCAACGUUGUAAAGAUGGCAAUACUUCCCAAAGUGAUCUGCAGAUUCAACACAACCUCUAUCAAAAUUCCAGUAACCUUUUUUUAGCAGAAAUGGAAAAUCUGCCUCUAAAAUUGAUGUAGAAUUGCAAGGGUUCUUGAGUAACCGUAGCAAACUCAAAAAGAAGUACAAAGUGGGAACAUAAACACUCUUUAUUUCAAUCUAACUACAAAACUAUAGGAAACAAAGCAGUUGGUAUUCAAUAAACACAGGCCUAUAGACUAAUGGAAUGGAAUCAAACUAAGAGUACAGAAAUAAGUCCAUCUAUCUAUGACCAAAUGAUUUUUUGACAAGGGUGUCAAGACCACCAAUGGGGAAGUAUAGUCUCUUCAACAGAUAGUGUCAGAACUAGAUAUCCACAUGCAAACAGUGAAGUUGGACUCCUACCUCACACCAUGUAUAAAGUAAUUAACUCAUAAUGGAAAAUAAUAAUCCUUGGCAAGGAUGUGGAUAAAUUGAAACCCUUAUACAUUGAUGGUAUGGA